RNAcentral lists this long non-coding RNA (1303 nucleotides) under Parus major (Great Tit). RNAcentral describes it as "lncRNA (ENSPMJG00000008508.1)". The record is from RNAcentral. Lineage: Eukaryota; Metazoa; Chordata; Aves; Passeriformes; Paridae.
NNNGGCUGGCGUCACGCCUGGCGGGGGCCCCCGCAUGACGUCACCGGCGGGGGGGUUGUCCCGGGGCCGCGGCUCCUUCCGGCGGCAGGAUGUGGCGGGGCCGGCCCGGAUGCUGCAGCCUCGCCGGGGGGGUCCCUCCCUCCCCCGGGGCCCACGCGGGUGGCUGGGCACACCCCACCCGUGAUUUUAUUUUGGGGGCGGAAUGCAGCUGCGGUGUCCUCAACGCCCCCCCCCCGAAUUUGGGGGGGAGACACACAACAUUGCCCCACGCGUUUUUUGUUUGGUUUUUUUUCAUGCUGGGAAAGCUGCAGCGUCGCCAACAGCGCCACUAUAAAAGAGAGGACACACGCGUGGGGAGCAGCACUGUCCCAGGCGGGGGGCUGAAGUCACACCCCACCAAAACAGCCGUGGUUGUUUUGUUUUUGGGGUGUUUUCUGCAGAGGGAGGUGCGGUGUCCUCCCUACGAAAGGGAGGGACGCACGGGGAGGAAGCGCUGUUCCAUGCGGACUUUCGGGUGGAGAGGGAGCUGCUGUGUCCCCAACAGCCCCACAAAAGGUGGGACGAGAGUGAGGGACAGAAUUGUCUCACGCGGGCAUUUGAAACCAUAUCCCACCUGCGGUUUGGGGUUUUUUUGUGGGGGCAGAGCUGCUGUGUUCCCAACAGCCCCGCAGCAGAACGGGGGAUACGAAUGGAGGGACAGUUCUGAUCCGCACGGGCGGCUGAAGCCACAUCCUACCGGUGGUUUGGGGUUUUUUUGCGGGGGGAGCCGCUGUGUCCCCAACAUCCCCCGCCACAAUCAGGGGAGACGCGGGAGGGCAGCAGUGCCCCACGCGGGUGACCGACAUCCCACCCUGCCCGAGGGAUUUUCUGCGGGAGGGGGAGAAGUUGUGUCCCCAACAGGCUCCCCACAAAGGGUGGUCCCCGUGCCGUGGGGGGACGCGCAGCCCCCGCAGUGGGGCCCCUCCGAGGGCCGGGCAGGGGGCCCAGGGGACACCCGGCAGAACCUGUCCUGCAGCUCCCAGCGGGGCCGGGCUGUGGGAGAGGGAGGGCUGAGCCCACCCUGCUCUGCAGGUCCUGCCCCUCCAAGGUGACAGCCCACCCCCAGGACCCCCUGGUGUCCCCGGACCCACGCAGGCAGUGCUGGGGGGGCUAUGGGGGAGGUCACCUGCCACAGGUAGGUCCCUCAGGUACCUCAUGGCUCCUGCCAGCCCCCUGUGGCUCCUGCCAGCUCCAUGCCUCCCUCCCAACUCCUCAUGGCCCCUGCCAGCCCUGUGCCCCACUCCGAGUCCCCCAGACUCCCCUU